RNAcentral lists this long non-coding RNA (2006 nucleotides) under Triticum aestivum (bread wheat). RNAcentral describes it as "long non-coding RNA (TAES_LNC011954)". The stretch from base 1117 to 1241 matches the Rfam family "MIR1120/MIR1122 microRNA precursor family". The record is from RNAcentral. Lineage: Eukaryota; Viridiplantae; Streptophyta; Magnoliopsida; Poales; Poaceae.
UCUAAGAUUGAGAAAACAUAUUUGUAUAAUAACAUCACAUGGCAAAAUGACCCAAUGACAACAUGUAGCGCUAAAUGUUAAUUACAAAUGUGUAGGUUUGGGCAUUUUUCUAAGUUUUAGAAUUGCAAUAUACUGGUAUGCUUUCCUAUUCUUGAUUACAUACAUCACUCACAUGAAGCAACAAAGCAGCACAUUAGUUGAUCCAACAAAAUAGGGAAACUGUAAACCACAUUCUUUGGUCUAUACUUCCCAUGCAUGAGCCGUAAAACAUUUUUGCCUUUUUUCCGAAGCAUGGGCAGCAUGACCAUAAAUGUUGACCUUUCAUUCUCUUUGCUAAGUAGUGAGAGUACCACCCAAUAGAUGUUUCCAUUUAUCUGUUAGGGCUGCAAAAAAGUAGUCAUGUACAGUUAACUUCAAAUUAUAUUAAGUUGCACUCUCACAUCUUUAAAAGCAUUCUGGAAAAUUGAGAGUACGUAACAUUAUAAGAUUGCAUUAAAAAUUUAAUAGCCGCAGCUAUAAGCAAAUUUCAGAAAGACUCCAAGUUCAGUAAGUGACAACUAAAGACCGUAAUAAUCAACAAUUGUAAACACCUAGCAUAAUUUGAUAAUUUAGGAGUGGAUACCGACUGGACGCAUAGCAUAACUUGAUUACAAUACGAACAUCUGCUAUGCAUGAGCAUCACAAGCUUGUCAAGCUUGAAACCAAGUUCGCGUCUCAUCCUUGAAUUGUGCCGCUAUAAUUGACCAGCGACCAUAAUAUUAGGUCACACCAUGAUUUAUUCAAGAAGGCUUACUGUGAAUUGUAAGGAAAUGAAAUAAAAACCAGAUACCAAAUUGUUGCAGAUGCACUCAUAGGAUAAACUCCGAAGCAUCAAAGUAGUCAACAGAUGAUAUUAGAAAAAACAAUACAAUUAGACUCACUUGAUAUGUUGCAGGUUAGACUCAAAUGUGAGACACGCAAAAUUAAGGUGUGAUUUGACUGUAUACAGAUUGUGCCCAAACAUAGUUGCUUGUUUUUGGAAGAACAAAAGAGGGAAACUAUUGCUACAGAAGAUAGAAUGAAGAAACCUCAUCAUGGGCAUACCUUCAAAUAAUACUCUCUCCGUCCAAAAAUACUUGUCUACUCUCUCCGUCCAAAAAUACUUGUCGGAGAAAUGAGUGUACCUAGAUGUAUUUUAGUUCUAGAUAGACCCAUUUUUAUCUAUUUCUCCGGCAAGUAUUUCCGGACGGAGGGAGUAUAUAGAAUGUUUGGAAACAUGUUUAGACAUUAAGAAUAAUGUUGGCCUACUUUAAAAAUGUUUCUAUGGUGGGUAGAUGGCCUGACCCACUUGCAUCCCUGAAUCAUAUGCAAAACUACCUUUUACUGGCACGUCCAUAGCUAUAAAAUAUAAAAGACUGGCAAUAAGAUUGUCUACCACUCCUAUGAAUGAUUCCCUUUCUACCAUGAUUUGGUCAAGUCUAAAUGCUUAAACUGUUCUGCUAUCCUAAAAUCAAAAGGUAACAUCUCAAAUAGUGUUGUUUCUUUAAAAUGAAUCUGGGUUAGAGUAUAGUACCCUUUCUUGAAGGGUAUCAUUGGCAGCCUUCAGUCUGCAUUCCUGCAAAACAUUGGCACAAAAAGACACUGGUGAAGGGAAUUGUCGUGCUCAUCUUUCUACAAGUAAGUUCAAGAAAUCUCAUUAGAGAAAUAAAAUUUCAUGUGGAGCGGACCUUGAUCUUGAGCAUCUUAAUCUCCCUAAAUAUUAUCCACAUCUGCUCAACAUAAAGGGGCAGUGUAUCAAAAGUAAUAAGUUUUGAAAACACAUCUGUUCUGAACACACACACACACUCCCCGCCACCGCUGCCUCAAGUCUCCCCGAGCUGCUAUUCUUUCCUCAAUAACGGACAACUCCAGCCGCCUCCCUGCUCAACGGUGACUGCUCUAGCCCUCCCCUCCUUGCGAUAGAUGGAGGCGCAGAUCCGCGCGAAGCAGCCGUUAUGGGGUAAACAAGGAGAACAACAACUAAGGUA